CUCAAAGCUAUCAAGUAGCAGAAUUUUUUAUCUUCACUAAUUUAUAGGAUCAAUAAAAUGUCAGCAAAAUAAAGCAUCAAGGUAAAUGCAGGAGGAGUUUUUGCAGGAAUGCCGGCAGCUCCUACUCACAGUUAUGACUACAACACAACUUGAAGACUCAGCAAAAUAUUAAGCAUUUAGGCAGCACAGCUGUCUGUGAAUGGAUUCACACGCACAGUGACCGUAAUCCCUUCCCACAUUCUAACUAUGCAGAACGGUUGGAUAGCUUUCGGCGGACAUAGAAGAGCAUAUCAUCCUGCCGGGGGGCCAAUUUCUCCAUGAAAUAAGUAGAAAACAUCCAAGUCCAGAACACAAUGCGAUCAUCUUUGAAACAACCUAAGGGGAAUAAAACAGGAGA
Long non-coding RNA from Mauremys reevesii (Reeves's turtle), 397 nucleotides. RefSeq lists it as uncharacterized. The record is from RefSeq and is a predicted model, not a curated record. The transcript is spliced from 3 exons. Lineage: Eukaryota; Metazoa; Chordata; Testudines; Geoemydidae.